Long non-coding RNA from Eriocheir sinensis (Chinese mitten crab), 5925 nucleotides. RefSeq lists it as uncharacterized. NCBI's taxonomy places the organism in Eukaryota, Metazoa, Arthropoda, Malacostraca, Decapoda, Varunidae. The transcript is spliced from 4 exons. The record is from RefSeq and is a predicted model, not a curated record.
CCGAGGGCUUGUUUGGGGCGGUGCACCAACACGUUUGUCCUGGUCCGGGUGCCAGCACUAAGUGCUGUGCCUUGCCACACGUGGUGCUUCCGUUCUGAACGGCGUGAAGGCCCCUCCCUUCCUAACGGUGGAAGAAGCAGAGUGUCAUCACUACUUGCACACACUGUCUCGGACGGGUAAAGCAGGAUGUGCGCCCCGGUACUGCCCUGCUGCGGCACAAAAGGAGACCUCUCAAGAGAGGCCACUAGUGCUUCGCCCCCCACCCCCCUCCAACAAUAUGGCAGCUCCACCCACCCAACCGCGCCCCCUGCAGGCCACGGAACGCCACGUUACACACACACAAUCCUCUAGUAUUAACUUUCCCUCUAUCCACCAUGUUCUCGCGUCAGUUUUCCACAGCUAUGCCACAGCCAGCGGGAAGAGAUGGAGGGCAGGGCUCAUCCUGUCUUUGUUUUCCUCCAUUGCAUUAGUGUCUCCACCAUGCCUGCCUUAGUUGUUUGUUGAGGUAGUUUACUUGCACUUGCUAGCCUUUUUGUACAAAACCCACUCUUCCCAGCAUACUGGUAAGUGUAGCCCCCUGGUAGCAAGCCUGGUGUUGUUCAAGGUCUCUGCGGCACACUAUCAAGGGCGUUAUCUCGUGUCUCUUCGUCCGGAUGAAGAGCACUCCAGGUUUUACUGCCGUCACUGUAACUCGAGUUAGUGUAUGAUUUAGUUAUUCAUUUUAGAAGGUUCAUUAGAACGUGCGUGUGUGUGUGUGUGUGUGUGUGUGUGUGUGUGUGUGUGUGUGUGUGUGCGCGCGCUCUCGCGUGCAUGCGUGCUUAACAAAUUUUAUAUUGUGUGAAGAUCGUACUGUCCCAUAUUUGAUCACCUGUAGAUCAUACAAUUCCUGAACCGCGAGUACAUUUAUUCCUAUGGACGGUUGAUGGUUAGGGAAGGUGUUCCCUACAUCAAGUGCUCGGUUUCAAGAUUCCUAACAUUGUGACGUGAGGGGUCAUGGUAAAUACCUACCAGGGCGUUUCGGUUAUCACGUUCAGACCUUACCAUCAGGGUCAGUGGUCUAACAAGCCCGACACUGUCAGUCAAGAAGCACUAUUUUAGGGCAUACCAACAGUUAGCCGAGGCAGGUGACGGUGCAAGGCCACUACGACGUAAUACAACUGCCGUGGUCAAGAUAUGUUAAUGCGACACUGCUUUACCUUGAUGUUUAUGAGAAUGAUUGCCUUAGCAGGUGCAGUGGAUAACGGAAAUGGUAUGGAAACGGAAGACAGGUAGAAAACUCGCUUAACACAGAGGUUUCAUGAAUAGAAAACAUUAGAUAGGAAAUUAGACGUGAAGGAUGACGAAAAGUCCUGUGUGGUGAAAUUCUCUCUCUCUCUCUCUCUCUCUCUCUCUCUCUCUGGUGUGACUGGAGGGGACAUAAUCUGGUGUUUGACUGACUGGAGGGAGGGGAAGACAGGUGUGUGACUGGCUGGAGGGAGGGGAAGACAGGUGUGUGGCUGGCUGGAGGGAGGGGAAGACAGGUGUGUGGCUGGCUGGAGGGAGGGGAAGACAGGUGUGUGACUGGCUGGAGGGAGGGGAAGACAGGUGUGUGACUGGCUGGAGGGAGGGGAAGACAGGUGUGUGACUGGCUGGAGGGAGGGGAAGACAGGUGUGUGACUGGCUGGAGGGAGGGGAAGACAGGUGUGUGACUGGCUGGAGGGAGGGGAAGACAGGUGUGUGACUGGCUGGAGGGAGGGGAAGACAGGUGUGUGACUGGCUGGAGGGAGGGGAAGACAGGUGUGUGACUGGCUGGAGGGAGGGGAAGACAGGUGUGUGACUGGCUGGAGGGAGGGGAAGACAGGUGUGUGACUGACUGGAGGGAGGGCAAGACAGGUGUGUGACUGGCUGGAAGGAGGGGAACAGGUGUGUGGCUGACUGGAGGGAGGGGAAGACAGGUGUGUGACUGGCUGGAGGGAGGGGAAGACAGGUGUGUAACUAGGGGGUGAGACAGGUGUGCAGACUAGAGAUGGUGUCUGAAGCAGAAGACAGUAGUUGUAUGCCACUGAGGGUGACAGGCGCUGAAUAGUAUGCAAGGUGACUGGCAAGGAGACAGGCCUGACUGCUGAAUGAGACAAGUCAAGAGCGAGCGUGUCAGUUUUUCUGGCGGUAAUCUCAGAUCAUCGCACGUGUAACAAGACAGGAUUAUAACACGUAGCUGGCAAACACGCGAGACAGCGCUGCCAGGGUUGAGGGACAAUAGGUUUACGAAGGCCCAUUAUUCAGAGAAAAAAAUAAACAGAAGGCAUCAGUUUAGGCAAAGGAGAAUCACUGAACACUUAGAAAACGGAUUCCAGCGGCACUAAAAACAAGUGCAAGAGAAAGUUCCAACAGGACUUCGCAAAUGUCAACCUCUUAUAGACUUUGUGUGCAUAAUAGUCUUGGUGUGUAUCAUUAGCCCCCUGGCCUCUGUACUUAGCUGACAACGGCCUAUAUAAACUAACACGCGAGAUGACAACACUGAUCAGGGUCUUGAGAUGGUAAUGCAAGUGAGGUUAUUACAGGAGAGCAUCACUGGGGGGUGGGGGCCCAAACUAGAGCGAAAGAUCCAAUGCCAAGAAAUUUAGGCCAUCGAGAAAAAUUAUUGCAGCAGGAGCAUCAAUGGUCCUUGAGUGGAGUGAACGAUUCCAGGGCAAGAAAACAAGGUCAUUCGGCAGAGACAGCUUACAAGGCACCGAGAGAAAGUUGCGGGCAUUUGUUUAACACUUCGCUCUGCCUCCUUACCGUAUACAAAAAAUUAUAUGAAGGUGAAGCAGCGAGCUUGCCAGCCUACCUCUACCCUUUGCUACCACCUGCCCUCACGCCGUGUCUAGAUGAAAUUUCCUUGCCUCGUUGUCGUCUUGUGUUUCAAAGAAAUACUAGAUAUGUAUGCGCAACCCCAGUAAGCCAACACGAUGCCUUUUCUUUUAUCCCUAGCAAAGUGACUGGGGGUAGUACGAGAAAUUGAAGAUGCGAGGUACAGGGAGGGAAGCAAAAAUACAAUACAAGGAUUUACCACCGAGAUAUACCACUUUAACAAAUCUAAGCCGGCACAAAACCUAUCCAUCUUCAUCAUCUACUACCUUCACCACAGACCUUCCCUUAUUCACUUCUUUAUCCCGACUCUUCAUAUACGGUAUACCUUCAGCAAACCACCACUGCCCUGACUAGACCUUCCCUGCCUCACUCCUUUCCCUGUCCCGAGACGCUGUGGGAAUGGAGGCUGGUUAGACGGAACGAGGAGACCGCCAAUAAGAAUAGUACUGCUUGCUGUUCGUGAUAUUACUGGAUCAAAUGAACGAGAAAGGACGGUGAAGACGAGUAGAUUGUGUUUUCCAGGCUCUUAAUUUGUCAUCACUUGAGAAAAGGCGGAAGAGAGAGGGAGGGAAGUAAUGAGCAACGAGAUAGAGCCGACGAUGAAGACUCAAUCCGACCUCAUAAUAAGAUAUCGUGAGGAGUCUUCAGUUUUGAGGUUCAAAAGAUGUAUGGAACCACUUGAGAAUAAAAUGGAGGACAGCAGGUAGUUAGUUCGAAGCCCCACCCAAGAACAGCUCGUUUGAAAAGGGGGUUUGCCCACUACGGUCUUGUAGAAGCAGUACUUAGCGGGCGGGCAUUUAUGUUGCUUUUUUUCUGCCCUCGAGCCGUUUCCUUUACCAUAAAAAAAAUUGUAGAACAACUUAGGGAGGAGAAGUGGUUGGAAGAGUUUACCAGGGCAGAAUAUAACGGGGAGCCCUCAUUGAAGUCUGAAUGGUGGUUCUGUGGUGUGGAUGGCACAAACAAGUGGAGAAUAACAAGAAUAUGAUCCAAGGAGCAAAUACCUUGAAAGUGACGGACACAAGCCUUUCUAAGACGGAACAAGGAUUCAGAGAGCAUGCAUGAAACUUUAGUUCAUAAAACUGACGAACAAGCAACUUAACGAAAUGACUGAUUAAGAAUCGAUAUUGGACGCAUGAAGCUCGAAUAAAGUUAAACUGACGGAUCGUUGAAUGCAAGGGCAAAAAAAUUAUACAAGCUGAUGUGGGCUACUUCAACGAACAUACAAGUCCCUUUAGAGAACAAGUAUUGAGAACAUUGAUAAUUGACGACUUAAGAGCUUGAUAGUUCUAAUAAAGGCCGGGAACCAGAAUUAUGGGGGAAGGUGGAACGAGCACAAACUACCAAGGAAGAGUUCUCUCUCUCUCUCUCUCUCUCUCUCUCUCUCUAACAUUAUCUUGCACAGCCACACACACAUCCUCCUUAUUACAUGUGCACACGCCCAUCCGCCCUACACAAACCUACUUUAAACUUAAUACACACGCCUACACAAACACACCCUACAUGUGCACACACAUUCCCAUCCACUCACACCAACAUUCAAGACCAUAAAUGAAAAUAUAGGGAACAUGUAUAACGAGUGGGCGAAUAAAACUAACCUUUUUAUUCAACGCCGAGGAAUUAGUGAUGAUUAUAUCAUCCAUAAGACGAACACUCGAAUGGAACGCACUUAAAAACGCAUGAGAAGAUAUGAGAUGUCGCAAAGAGCAGGCACAAGAUUAGUGCCAAACAUGAGAUCAAAGUUACGAAGAAAGACAAGAGAAGGUUCAAUUACCAACACUACCGAGAAUAGAGAAUAUAUACACUACUGAGAACAGAGAAUGUGAGAAGGAAGUGAGAUUCGAGAAGUGAGAAUAGAGAAUGAAAACAGGAAAGUUAGAUGAGAAUGGGAGAAUAAAAAUGAGAAUAGAGAAAGAAUUGGAGAGAAGCGAAUGAGAAGUGAGAAAAAAUGUGAUAUUGCUAUAUAUAUAAUACAAAUUUGUCGAAGGAUAAGACCGACAUUUAUGACUAUAGUAUGCCAAGACUUUCAAGAAUGUUACGUAAAGAAAAAAGAUGUGGAGAUUAGAGAAAUAUGCGAGGAAAUUAUGCUUUUUCAGACAGAUCAAGAGACCAAUAGCACAUGUUACCGUUAACCUCGUGUAUGCCAAAAUUAGUUUAAAAAAUACGUUUAAAAAAGACAUCCCUACAAACUUGACUCAGUGGAAAUACUGAGUAGGAACAUACCGACCAUAGAAUAAUAGUUAUGGCGGAUGUGAUGGUGGCAGAGGUAACACGCACACACGUCCAUACGCCCAUCCACUUACACAUGUGCAACCCCCCAUCAUCCCUGUGCACCUCCCCCCGAUAUUUCCUAAAACUAACCCCUGGAACAUGUGCACACGCCUUCUCAGACACGUCCACCCCCCUGUACACGUGUGCACGACCACCCUUCCUAAAAGUGCACAUGCCAUCCAACACAGCUACACGCCCUUCCACACAUAUAUCCAUUCACACGUGUCCACGCCCACUAAGUUUUUACACGCACACGCCCUUCCGCACACUUACACACGCCCAUCCACACACACAUUCCUUCAACCGCGCGCACACCCAUCCAAACUUGUCCACGCCCACUAACACACACACACGUACACACGCCCAUCCCAAAUCCAUGUGCACACAAGCCGGACGUUCCACGCACUCCGUACACACGCCCAUACGUACAUACACGCACACAGACAUCAAAAUGAGACCUCACCAAACCACCCCCCGCGCACGUACCCACGCCCUCGACUAUUCCAUGUGCACAUAAGCGGCUCCACACACGCCCAUAUGUACACCCAACGUACACACACACGCACACGAGACGGCAAAAUGAACCCGGCCGCCGCCCUCUUCAUGCCAAGGAGAAAAUUACCCCAAAAUAACCCCCGGAACAGCCCGACCUCACCCCACGCCCAUGCCCACCGCCGCCCUCAGCCCCACGCCCCCCGAGGCACACACUCCCCCGGGGGCCAAGAAAAGGCGGAAAAUGUGGGCCGCCCGAACACCGGCUCCCCGUAUAACACCCGUCCGCCCACGCCCACCCGCCGCCCGCACACCCACGCCCUCGCCCGCGCC